This 253-nucleotide ribosomal RNA is filed under the name uncultured bacterium. RNAcentral describes it as "partial 16S ribosomal RNA". It matches the Rfam family "Bacterial small subunit ribosomal RNA", at positions 524 to 776 of the family's 1533-position model. The record is from RNAcentral.
UACGAAGGGGGCUAGCGUUGCUCGGAAUUACUGGGCGUAAAGGGCGCGUAGGCGGAUAGUUUAGUCAGAGGUGAAAGCCCAGGGCUCAACCUUGGAAUUGCCUUUGAUACUGGCUAUCUUGAGUUCGGGAGAGGUGAGUGGAAUGCCGAGUGUAGAGGUGAAAUUCGUAGAUAUUCGGCGGAACACCAGUGGCGAAGGCGACUCACUGACCCGAUACUGACGCUGAGGCGCGAAAGCGUGGGGGGCAAACAGG